Molecule: long non-coding RNA, 360 nt
Filed under: Nicotiana tabacum (common tobacco)
Lineage: Eukaryota; Viridiplantae; Streptophyta; Magnoliopsida; Solanales; Solanaceae
Description: long non-coding RNA (NTAB_LNC014272)
Source: RNAcentral
CGGGGAUCCAAAAUAUUCAAAGCCUCGGUAUAUGUAUAUAUUGUCCACAUAACUCAAAAUAAUAAAGAAUAUCAAUAUAUUAGUUAAAAAAUUGCCUAAAUCAAAUAAAAAAUGGUGUGUAGUUCGGGAAGGGUGAAUUGAAUCUGUUAGGGCUUUUUCUUGGACGAACCUGAAGCCUCGAAUAGGAAACUAUUCAGAGAUCUGAAAAAAUCAAAGAAAAAAAGUAGACAGAGAGAACAUUGGGAGAGAAUCAUACCUGAAAUUAUAGGAGAUUGAUGAGAAAAUGAAGAGGUAAAUAUUUUGAAGAACUGAAAAUUGAAAAGUACUCCUCCGUGAAUAGAAAUGAUUCUAGACCAAUGU